Tyto alba (common barn owl) is the source of this 1561-nucleotide long non-coding RNA. RefSeq lists it as uncharacterized. NCBI's taxonomy places the organism in Eukaryota, Metazoa, Chordata, Aves, Strigiformes, Tytonidae. The transcript is spliced from 4 exons. The record is from RefSeq and is a predicted model, not a curated record.
UCCGGGAGUUCUUCCUGGCAUCUUGACGUUCUUAGGUCUUGAAGCAAGGUUACUUGCACAUGCCUUAUCCCUGUGGAGGCUAUAAGGUUUUCUCUCAGGCCACAACACUUGACUCUUCUCGGCCUGCCGUCCAUUCUUCCUCAUGGCCCCAUAGGUCUUCUUGUCCGAGAGCAUCUUUGAUCUGAGUCUUUCCUCUUAAAGAGCUUAUUUUAUGUCUCUCGUCUUGUUUGUGUGCCGUGUCGGUCUGUGCAUGUUUGUCUCUGUCGGAGCUGCUCUGCCUGGGUGCGUAGAGGUGACAGUCAGCCAAAGAAGUACAGUAAGGUUCUAUGUGAAUAAGCCUAGACUUUGUAGGGAAAGGGUGUACCGUCCAUUUCAGAGCAACUAAUUAUGUAGCCAACAGGCAAGGAGAGUUCUUUCUGUAGCGCUACGCAGACACGCAGGGGAUGAGCAGAGUUUUAUUGACAGCAGGCUGUAGAGAGAAUUGGGAUGGUAUACCUCAAUGAAAAUGGGAUCUCUGGAACUGUUAAGCUAUUGCUCCGCAUCCAGGCGACUCACUCAAUAUCUCUUUUGCAGAUGAAGAGGGACAACUCGCUCACCUAACGGCAACAGAGGAGGCAAACGGAGCAGUUUAAGAAGGUACCGCAAGAGGCAAUGGCUGCAGCAUCUGACUCCAGAAUGAACAGGCAGUAAAGGAAUCUGGCCACUGCAGGAACAUGCUAGUUAGCUGCUGUGCUGCUUUUUUCGAAGGUGGAUUCAGACCUCCGGCCCUCUGAAAGCUAAGUCGAUGGAACGGGGUUGAGUGGAGGGACGAGGUUGGCAAUCUCAGGUUGUAGGUGGGGCUCAGUUUGACUACGUAGACUGGAUUUAAUGAAAACCUCUGUCAGGGGAAUAAACUUCUGUUUUUCCUGUCUCCUGGCUGGGUAGUUUUUCCCUGGUCCCGGCCGGUGUGCAAUGCAAGGAUUGUUAUCUAGAUUUGGGUACAGGUCAGGCUCAGGCUGGAGUUUUUUCAGGUAGGAUGAUUUUUGAGGCCCCCAUACCUGGUGUUUCUGAGGAGCAUGGAGGGUGAUGGCUUGUGGCGGUUUUGGUGGUAGGGUGGCCGCGGGGAGAGCGGGUGGUGGUUUGAGUGGUAGCUGGCUGUGUGGUGUUUAAAAUGUGUGUAGCAGUGCCUGAAUGGUUGAUGUUUUGUUUUUUCCUUACAGGCUGUAGGUUGUGUAGCUUUCUUUAGAGGCAGUAAAAAAACUUUUUCUUUUCCUGUCCCCUGGCUGGGUUUCUUUCCUCCGUCCUGGCCGGUCUGCGAGGCGACUGUUGUCGCCUAUGUUUGGGCGCAUGUCUGUCUCAGGCUGGGGUUUUUAAGGCAGUGAAACGAAAAAGGGCCAAACAAUAGGCCUCAAACCAAGGUUGACUUCAGAGUGAAUCCCUCGACCAGCAACCAGCAUCUUAUCAGCAGCAUGAAGCAACCAGCAUCUUAUCAGUGUGAAAAUGCAACCCUGGGAACAAUCCCUGGGAACAAUAGGUAAACAACAGGUAGUAACUAUAAAUCCCAAAUGUACAGAAAACCAGA